This 246-nucleotide ribosomal RNA is filed under the name uncultured bacterium. RNAcentral's name for it is "partial 16S ribosomal RNA". It matches the Rfam family "Bacterial small subunit ribosomal RNA", at positions 527 to 772 of the family's 1533-position model. The record is from RNAcentral.
GUAGGUGGCAAGCGUUGUCCGGAUUUACUGGGUGUAAAGGGCGUGCAGCCGGGAGUGCAAGUCAGAUGUGAAAUUCCGCGGCUCAACCGCGGAACUGCAUUUGAAACUGUGCUUCUUGAGUGCUGGAGAGGCAGACGGAAUUCCUAGUGUAGCGGUGAAAUGCGUAGAUAUUAGGAGGAACACCAGUGGCGAAGGCGGUCUGCUGGACAGUAACUGACGGUGGGGCGCGAAAGCGUGGGGAGCAAA